RNAcentral lists this ribosomal RNA (253 nucleotides) under uncultured bacterium. RNAcentral's name for it is "partial 16S ribosomal RNA". It matches the Rfam family "Bacterial small subunit ribosomal RNA", at positions 524 to 776 of the family's 1533-position model. The record is from RNAcentral.
UACGAAGGGGGCUAGCGUUGUUCGGAAUUACUGGGCGUAAAGGGCGCGUAGGCGGUACUUCAAGUCAGGCGUGAAAGCCCCGGGCUCAACCUGGGAACCGCGCUUGAGACUGGAGAACUAGAGUUCGGGAGAGGAUGGUGGAAUUCCCAGUGUAGAGGUGAAAUUCGUAGAUAUUGGGAAGAACACCGAUGGCGAAGGCAGCCUCCUGGGAUAACACUGACGCUCAGGCACGAAAGCGUGGGGAGCAAACAGG